GACCCUCCAAUGCACCUCUUCUAGGGAAUCUUCAAACCCCUUUGUGGAGCAAGCAAUACAGUAUGCUGUAGCUGCGUGUAAUGUGAUAUUUGCCGAGAAGGAAAAGAAGGAUGCAUUGCAUAAACUACUUUUGCAAGGUCUUGAUAUUACUGUUUUGGGUUGCAAUGAUUUCUACUCAUAUCGAAAUCAGAUUGAAGCACGUGGUCUGCCAUUGACACCG
Molecule: unclassified non-coding RNA, 220 nt
Filed under: Hevea brasiliensis (rubber tree)
Lineage: Eukaryota; Viridiplantae; Streptophyta; Magnoliopsida; Malpighiales; Euphorbiaceae
Source: RNAcentral